CCUGCAACAUUAGGUGCCUCGUGACAAUGAACAGUUAGUUUGUCACCUGCGCGUAUUAACCGGGCACCCGGCCUUGGGUUAUUGUGCCACCUGAAUGCUCUCUUGACAACAACCUGUGUGCCCGGGGCAGCGAGCACCAGCUCCAGCCGAAACCAACUCUGGAUAACUCAAGCCCCAAAAAAGUAACUUGUGGAACAUUCUGGAAGUUCAUGGAACACGAGGGCAAGCCGAAGCUCCAGGCGCUAUAAGGACCCACGCCCUUUGUGCCGUGACAGCUCUGGCAUAACCACGGUUCAUACUGGUAAUCAUCAGAGCACAUAGGACUGAGCCAAGAGCUUUGCAUGUAAUGACUCGUCCCAUCCCGUCAACAGCCCGGGAGGUCUAGCUCGAGUUCUCCUUCCUCUCUGAAGCCUCCCCUUGACAGCCCCAAGGAAUCACGCUUCCUCAAGAACUUCCUGGAGGGGAUGUCAAUCACUUGGACACAUGUCCGCCUGGAUAGCUAUUAGUGUUCCACGAACUUGCCCGACCUCUCGGCCCUCGGGGGUGAGGGUCCCGGUGUUACUCUUUUCUGACAUGCCCUGCCCACAACGGAUGCCCAUUCACUGUCUUGAUGAUGGCGAGGGCUUUCGGGGACAAUCCCUUCCGCCAUCUGUGCAGAAUAACACUGGCUAAUUCCCUCUCAAUGAGGAUAACAUCCAGACAGGGAAUUGCAUACCCUGCAACCCUCCACGUGGCCGGAGCUGAGAAAGUGCCUGACGGCCAUUCUCACCAGCAGACAUCAGAGCACAGAGGGAAGGAGUCAGUCCUGUGUCUGAGUCGCUCAUUCACUUAUUGACUGGAUGGCCUUGGACGAGUCACUUAAUCUCCCUCAGCCUCAGUUUCCUCAUCAGCAAAACGGGGCUAAUUUUACCUUCCAGCAUGCUAGUAAGGAUUAGACGGGACAAGAACGAUGAAGCUCAGGGCAGAAUGCUGGCACACAGUGAGCCUUCGGUGAGGGUCAGAGGUACAGCCCCUGCCCUCUGAGUGAAGAAAUCAAUUUUCCGCUAAGCUGUGAACACCAUACAUGCAAGGGACUCUCUACUGUGUUCAAGGUCAUGUUCCCAGUGCUUGGCACUGUGCUUGGCACAUAGACAGUAUACAAUAAACAUCUGUUGGGCGCCCGAGUAAACACGUCAAGCGGCCUGGGGAUGCUGCAGAUGUGGGUAGGGUGGUAAGGCAAGUCAGACACCUGCGUGGAUCCCAGGAAACCCAGCUAACAGAACUAACCAGUCUCUUCUUUGUUCGGUCUUUGUUUGGCCUCUGCCUUCCAAUUCAUGACUACUAACCCAGAAACCCGAGAAAGUCACUUAAAGUGCCCCAAGAAUGCAUUCGACAGAUGUUCUGCAAAGUCGGGUUAGCCGGGCCAACCUAAGGCAUCACCGGUGGCCGGCCGCCCCUGCCCAAGGGAUUCUCUGUGCCCCACAUAGAGGGAACAUUAGAAACAAGGAGGGAGCCUGGGGCUGGGCCAGGUGGGAGCUGGUCGGAGCCAGAUGUCCUGCCACCAAUAAAUCUUAACACUCUGA
This is a long non-coding RNA of Felis catus (domestic cat), 1562 nucleotides long. RefSeq lists it as uncharacterized. NCBI's taxonomy places the organism in Eukaryota, Metazoa, Chordata, Mammalia, Carnivora, Felidae. The transcript is spliced from 3 exons. The record is from RefSeq and is a predicted model, not a curated record.